RNAcentral lists this ribosomal RNA (467 nucleotides) under uncultured bacterium. RNAcentral's name for it is "partial 16S ribosomal RNA". It matches the Rfam family "Bacterial small subunit ribosomal RNA", at positions 28 to 506 of the family's 1533-position model. The record is from RNAcentral.
GACGAACGCUGGCGGCGUGCUUAACACAUGCAAGUCGAACGGAAAGGCCCUGCUUUUGUGGGGUGCUCGAGUGGCGAACGGGUGAGUAACACGUGGGUAACCUGCCCUUGACUUUGGGAUAACUUCAGGAAACUGGGGCUAAUACCGGAUAGGAGCUCCUGCUGCAUGGUGGGGGUUGGAAAGUUUCGGCGGUUGGGGAUGGACUCGCGGCUUAUCAGCUUGUUGGUGGGGUAGUGGCUUACCAAGGCUUUGACGGGUAGCCGGCCUGAGAGGGUGACCGGCCACAUUGGGACGGAGAUACGGCCCAGACUCCUACGGGAGGCAGCAGUGGGGAAUAUUGCACAAUGGGCGGAAGCCUGAUGCAGCAACGCCGCGUGCGGGAUGACGGCCUUCGGGUUGUAAACCGCUUUCGCCUGUGACGAAGCGUGAGUGACGGUAAUGGGGAAAGAAGCACCGGCUAACUACGU